CAACCAUGGAUCCCUGUCUGCCAGGGGAGGCACCACAUUUCACCCACAGGGUCCCAGCUCUGAGCACAGAGUUGGGGCCCCAUAUGGCAACCUGCUCUCUGAGGCCAAGGUGGGUCUUGAUAGCUAGUAAGAGGGCAGGUCUUCUCUCUCCAUUGGUCAGUGCCUGGGAUUUCAGCAUUGGAUGGUUCUAGGUUGGUCAGCCAUUGAACAGCUUCAGUUCCCCUGGUUCUGUCCCUAUCCUGGGCCCUCAGGGCAUCCAUUCCAUCCAGGAUAAGGGUGAAAGGAACAUGGGGCAGCACCCAGUGUACAUUGGACCUUGCUGACACCCAGUAGGAAGGAACUCACUGAGACCACAAGCCACCUAACAGUCAGCCUGAAUGCCAGGGAAGGUGCCACAUUGCACCUACAGGCUCCCAACUGUCUGCCCAGCACGGGCACCAGGGUUCCUGCUCAGCUAUCUCUCUAGCCUCUGGUCCAGUCUAAGACCUCAAGCAGAGCUUUGCUCCUUCUGCCAUUUUGCCUCCAUCCCCCACAAUCCUCAGAGUACACACCUAGGUUUCUUAGCCAUUCUGCAAGCAUAGGCCCUCCAGUUUCUAGCCACUUCUUUGUUCCAAGGGGCUUGCCUUCCACCAGGGUCAAGGGAAAUCCACAUGGUUGUCUGCCCCCAUGUGUGGUCCCCUUUGUCCCAGCCCUGUGGCAAAGAAAAUUCAACCUCCCAACAGUUAGCCAAAAUGGAACCCUGUCUGACAGGGUAAACACCAUCAUGCACCUGUAGUCCCCCGCCUCACAGCCCAGGGAUGGGGGCAAGCUUUUGGAGCACUUUCUCAGAUCUCUACAAGUGCAUCUAUCAAUUCAUGCAGAGCCUUUCUUUCUCUCCUCUUUGGCCUCCAAACCCAAUCCUCAGCUUCUUGAUACCGGUUUCUCAGCCAUUCAGCACCUGCAGGGCCCCAAGUCUGUACCCACCUCUUUGUUGAAGGGGCUUGUGUUCCACCAGGGUCAAGGGGGAAUCCACAUGGUUGUCUGCCGCCAUGAGUGAUCCUCUUUGAGCCAGCCCUGUAGCAAAGAAAAUUCACUCUCCAACAGUUACCCCAAAUGGAACCCUGUCUGACAGGGUAAACACCACCCUACACCUGUAGGUCCCCAUCUCACAGCACAGGGGUGUGGGCAUGUUUUCCAGUCCUUUUUGAUAGCCUUGCUACUCAUGCUAAAGAAUCAUCCAGAGGCUUUUCUUCUCUCUCCUUUGGCCUCUGAACCACAACCCUCAGUUUGUGGCAAAGGUUUCUCAGCCAUUCAGCAUCUGUAGGGCACCCGCUUUGUACCCACUUUUUUGUGCCAAGGGGCUUGCCUUCCACCAGGGUCAAGGGCUAAUCCACAUGGCUGUCUGCCCCCCUGUGUGAUCCUCUUUGACCCAGCCCUGUGGCAAUUAAAAUUCACUCUCCCCACAGUUAGCCAAAAUGGAACCCUGACUGAUAGGGUAAACACCAUCAUGCACCUGUAGACCCCACCUCGUGGCCCAGAGGUGGAGACAUCUUUUCUUCCCUACAUUGUCCUAUCUUUAAUGUUCACUCAAUCUCAGCCCUCAAUCAUCAGUUUUGCCUUCCUGAUUUCUUUCUCUAUAAUCAGUUCUCUCCCCUGCCAUGAAUCAACACUCAUAGACACAGACGCAGACCCAGACCCAGACCCAGACCCAGGCGCGCGCACACACACACACACACACACACACACACACCCCUGUGGAGCACUUGAUCCACAAUGAGUGACACAGAAACAAAGUCCACUGCACACAACCAUGGUGUAUUAGACAUUCCAAUCUGACCCAAGCCCCUAGAUCCUUUACCAGUACUUGGGCAGGGACUGCUCUCAUUCCAACUGGCAUGGAAGUGGAAUGGGUACGGGGCCCUCCCCAAAGGAUGCUGGCCCUUGCCUUGACCUUCUAGCACAGAAAACCCACUGAGUCCAGAACCAGCUCCCAGCUGAGCCUGUCUGCCCGGGGAGGCAGCCCAUUUCACCUCUAGCUGCCACCCCUAAGCACAUUUACCCACUUGCUAUCCUGCUCUCUGGAGACCAAGCAGGGUUGUGAUACCUAGUCAGAGGGCAGGGUUUCUCCCACCAUUUCUCACGGGCAAGUCUUCCAUCUGGGCAUGGACAAGGGUUGUCUGCCAUUCUCCACCCCAAGGCUGUCCCAGGUUGUUUCCCAGUCUUUGCUUGGGAGGACAGGCCAUCCAGCUACAUCAAGGGAGAAUGGGCUUGGGGCUCCACUCCAUCUAAGUUCCAACUGGCAUUGGCCCUUCAGUCAAGAGCCAACCAUGGAUCCCUGUCUGCCAGGGGAGGCACCACAUUUCACCCACAGGGUCCCAGCUCUGAGCACAGAGUUGGGGCCCCAUAUGGCAACCUGCUCUCUGAGGCCAAGGUGGGUCUUGAUAGCUAGUAAGAGGGCAGGUCUUCUCUCUCCAUUGGUCAGUGCCUGGGAUUUCAGCAUUGGAUGGUUCUAGGUUGGUCAGCCAUUGAACAGCUUCAGUUCCCCUGGUUCUGUCCCUAUCCUGGGCCCUCAGGGCAUCCAUUCCAUCCAGGAUAAGGGUGAAAGGAACAUGGGGCAGCACCCAGUGUACAUUGGACCUUGCUGACACCCUGUAGGAAGGAACUCACUGAGACCACAAGCCACCUAACAGUCAGCCUGAAUGCCAGGGAAGGUGCCACAUUGCACCUACAGGCUCUCAACUCUCUGCCCAGCACGGGCACCAGGGUUCCUGUUCAGCUAUCUCUCUACCCUCUGGUCCAGUCUGAGGCCUCAAGCAGAGUCUUCCUCCUUCUGCCUUUUUGCCUCCAUCUCCCAUAAUCCUCAGAAUACACACCUAGGUUUCUCCACCAUUCUGCAGGCAUAGGGCCUCCAGUUUCUAGGCACUUCUUUGUUCCAAGGGGCUUGCCUUCCACCAGGGUCAAGGGAAAUCCACAUGGUUGUCUGCCCCCAUGUGUGGUCCCCUUUGACCCAGCCCUGUGGCAAAGAAAAUUCAACCUCCCAACAGUUAGCCAAAAUGGAACCCUGUCUGACAGGGUAAACACCAUCAUGCACCUGUAGUCCCCCGCCUCACAGCCCAGGGAUGGGGGCAAGCUUUUGGAGCACUUUCUCAGAUCUCUACAAGUCCAUCUAUCAAUUCAUACAGAGCCUUUCUUUCCCUCCUCUUUGGCCUCCAAACCCAAUCCUCAGCUUCCUGAUACUGGUUUCUCAGCCAUUCAGCACCUGCAGGGCCCCAAGUCUGUACCCACCUCUUUGUUGAAGGGGCUUGUGUUCCACCAGGGUCAAGGGGGAAUCCACAUGGUUGUCUGCCGCCAUGAGUGAUCCUCUUUGAGCCAGCCCUGUAGCAAAGAAAAUUCACUCUCCAACAGUUACCCCAAAUGGAACCCUGUCUGACAGGGUAAACACCACCCUACACCUGUAGGUCCCCACCUCACAGCCCAGGGGUGGGGACAUCUUUUCUUUGCUACAUUUUCCUGUCUUUAAUGCUCACUCAAUCUCACGUGUAAAUCAUCAGUUUUGCCUUCCUGAUUUCGUUCUCUAUAAUCGGUGCUCUCCCCUGCCAUGAAUCAACACUCUUAGACAUAGACACAGAUGCAGCCCCAGUCACAGACACAGGCACAGGUGCACACAUGCACCCACACCCCCACACCCCCACUCUCACACACACACACACACACACACGCACACACACACACACACGACUGUGGAGCUCUUGAUCCAUACUGAGUGACACAGAAACAAAGUCCAUAGCACAGACCCUGGUUUAUUAGACAUUCUAAUUUGACACAAGCCCCGAGGUCCUUGACCAGUACUUGGGCAGGGACUGCCCUCAUUCAAACUGGCAUGGAUGUGGAAUGGGUAUGGGGUCCUCCCCAAAGGAUGCUGGCCAUUGCCUUGGCCUUCUAGCACAGAAAACCCACUGAGUCCAGAACCAGCUCCCAGCUGAGCCUGUCUGCCCAGGGAGGCAGCCCAUUUCACCUCUAGCUGCCACCCCUAAGCACAGUUACCCACUUGCUAUCCUGCUCUCUGGAGACCAAGCAGGGUUGUGAUACUUAGACAGAGGGCAGGGUUUCUCCCACCAUUUCUCACUGGCAAGUCUUCCAUCUGGGCAUGGACAAGGGUUGUCUGCCAUUCUCCACCCCAGGGCUGUCGCAGGUUGUUUCCCAGUCUUUGCUUGGGAGGACAGGCCAUCCAGCUACUUCAAGGGAGAAUGGGCAUGGGGCUCCACUCCAUCUAAGUUCCAACUGGCAUUGGCCCUCCAGGCAAGAGCCGACCAUGGAUCCCUGUCUGCCAGGAGAGGCACCAACUUUCACCCACAGGGUCCUAGUUCUGAGCACAGAGUUGGUACCCAACAUGGAAACCUGCUCUCUGAAGCCAAGGUGGGUCUUGAUAGACAGGCAGAGGGCAGGUCUUCUCUCUCCAUUGGUCAAUGCCUGGGAUUUCAGCAAUGGGUCGUUUUAGGUUGGUCAGUCAUUGAACAGCUUCAGUUCCCCUUGUUCUGUCCCUAUCCUGGGCCCUCAGGGCAUCCAUUCCAUCCAGGAUAAGGGCAAAAGGAACAUGGGGCAGCACCCAGUGUACAUUGGACCUUGCUGACACCCUGUAGGAUGGAACUCACUGAGACCACAAGCCAGUUAAGAGUCAGCCUGAAUGCCAAGGAAGGUGCCACAUUGCACCUACAGCCUCCCAACUCUCUCCCUAGCAGGGGCACCAGGGUUUCUACUCAGCUAUCUCUCUAGCCUCUGGUCCAUUGUAAGGCCUCAAGCAGAGCCUUCCUCCUUCUGCCCUUUUGCCUCCAUCCCCCACAAUCCUCAGAGUACACACCUAGGUUUCUCAGCCAUUCUGCAAGCAUAGGCCCUCCAGUUUCUAGCCACUUCUUUGUUCCAAGGGGCUUGCCUUCCACCAGGGUCAAGGGAAAUCCACAUGGUUGUCUGCCCCCAUGUGUGGUCCUCUUUGACCCAGCCCUGUGGCAAAGAAAAUUCAAACUCCCAACAGUGAGCCAAAAUGGAACCCUGUCUGACAGGGUAAACACCAUCAUGCACCUGUAGUCCCCUGCCUCACAGCCCAGGUUUGGGGGCAAGCUUUUUAAGCACUUUCUCAGGUCCCUCUAUUGAUUCAUGCAGAGGCUUUCUUUCUCUCCUCUUUGGCCUCCAAACCCAAUCCUCAGCUUCCUGAUACUGGUUUCUCAGCCAUUCAGCACCUGCAGGGCCCCCAGUUUGUACCCACCUCUUUGUUGAAGGGGCUUGUGUUCCACCAGGGUCAAGGGGAAAUCCACAUGGUUGUCUGCCGCCAUGAGUGAUCCUCUUUGAGCUAGCCCUGUAGCAAAGAAAAUUCAAUCUCCAACAGUUACCCCAAAUGGAACCCUGUCUGACAGGGUAAACACCACCCUACACCUGUAGGUCCCCAUCUCACAGCACAGGGGUGUGGGCAUGUUUUCCAAUCCAUUUUGAUAGCCUUUGCUACUCAUGCUAAAGAAUCAUCCAGAGGCUUUCCUUCUCUCUCCUUUGGCCUCUGAACCACAAUCGUCAGUUUGUGACAAAGGUUUCUCAGCCAUUCAGCAUGUGCAGGGCUCCCAAUAUGUGCCUACUUCUUUGUUCCAAGGGCUUGCCUUCCACCGGGGUCAAGGGGGAAUCCACAUGGGUGUCUGGCCCCCUGUGGGAACCUCUUUUUCCCAGCCCUCAGGCAACGAAAAUUCACUCUCCCCACAGUGAGCCAAAAUGGAACCCUGUCUGACAGGGCAAACACCAUCAUGCACCUGUAGACCCCACCUCACAGCCCAGGCGUGGGGACAUCUUUUCUUCCCUACAUUUUCCUAUCUCUAAUGCUCACUCAAUCUCAGGUCUACAUCAUCAGUUUUGCCUUCCUCAUUUCUUUCUCUAUAAUCAGUUCUCUCCUCUGCCACAAAGAAACACUCACAGAUACAGACAGACAGACACACAAACACAGAAACAAACAUGGGGAGCAAUUGUUCCAUACUGAGUAACACAGAAACAAAGUCCACAGCACAGACUCUGGUUUAUUAGACAUUCCAAUCUGAGAGAAGCCCCUAGGUCCUUUAACAGUCCUUGGGCACAGAGUGCUUCCAUUUGGCUCACAAGGAAGUAUAAUGCGUAUGGGGCAUUCCUCAACCUCUGUUGGCCCUUGCCUUGGCCUUCUAGCUCAGAAAACCCACUGAGUCCAGAACCAGCUCCCAGCUGAGCCUGUCUGUACGGGGAGGCAGCCCAUUUCACCUCUAGCUGCCACCCCUAAGCACAGUUACCCACUUGCUACCCUGCUCUCUGGAGACCAAGCAGGGUUGUGAUACCUAGUCAGAGGGCAGGGUUUCUCCCACCAUUUCUCACUGGCAAGUCUUCCAUCUGGGCAUGGACAAGGGUUGUCUGCCAUUCUCCACCCCAGGGCUAUCCCAGGUUGUUUCUCAGUCUUUGCUGGGGAGGACAGGCCAUCCAGCUACUUCAAGGGAGAAUGGGCAUGGGGCUCCACUCCAUCUAAGUUCCAACUGGCAUUGGCCCUUCAGUAAAGAGCCAACCAUGGAUCCCUGUCUGCCAGGGGAGGCACCACCUUUUACCCACAGGGUCCCAGCUCUGAGCACAGAGGUAGGGCCCCACAUGGCAGGCAGCUCUCUGAGGCCAAGGCGGGUCUUGAUAUCCCAUAGGAAGGCAGGUCUUCUCUCUCCAUUGGUCCGUGCCCAAGAUUUCAGCAAUGGGUGGUUCUAGGUUGGUCAGCCAUUGAACAGCUUCAGUUCCCCUGGUCCUGUCCCCAUUCUGGGCCCCUCAGGGCAUCCAUUCCAUCUAGGAUAAACAUGAAAAGGAACAUCGGGCUGCACCCAGUGUACAUUGGACCUUGCUGACACCCUGUAGGAAGGAACUCACUGAGACCACAAGCCACCUAACAGUCACACUGAAUGCCAGGGAAGAUGCCACAUUGUACAUAGAGGCUCCCAACUGUCUGCCCAGCAGGGGCAACAGGGUUCCUGCUCAGCUAAUCUCUCUAGCCUCUGGUCCAGUCUGAGGCCUCAAGCAGAGCCUUGCUCCUUCUGGCUUUUUGCCUACAUCCUCCAUAAUCCUCAGAGUACACACCUAGGUUUCUCAGCCAUUCUGCAAGCAUAGGCCCUCCAGUUUCUAGCCACUUCUUUGUUCCAAGGGGCUUGCCUUCCACCAGGGUCAAGGGAAAUCCACAUGGUUGUCUGCCCCCAUGUGUGGUCCUCUUUGACCCAGCCCUGUGGCAAAGAAAAUUCAACCUCCCAACAGUUAGCCAAAAUGGAACCCUGUCUGACAGGGUAAACACCAUCAUGCACCUGUAGUCCCCCGCCUCACAGCCCAGGUUUGGGGGCAAACUUUUUGAGCACUUUCUCAGAUCUCUACAAGUCCAUCUAUCAAUUCAUGCAGAGCCUUUCUUUCUCUCUUCUUUGGCCUCCCAAACUCAAUCCUCAGAUUCCUGAAAACGGUUUCUCAGCCAUUCAGCACCUGCAGGGCCCAGAGUCUGUACCCACCUCUUUGUUGAAGGGGCUUGUGUUCCACCAGGGUCAAGGGGGAAUCCACAUGGUUGUCUGCCGCCAUGAGUGAUCCUCUUUGAGCCAGCCCGGUAGCAAAGAAAAUUCACCCUCCAACAGUUACCCAAAAUGGAACCCUGUCUGACAGGGUAAACACCACCCCUACACCUGUAGGUCCCCAUCUCACAUGCCAGGGGUGUGGGCAUGUUUUCCAGUCCUUUUUGAUAGCCUUUGCUACUCAUGCUAAAGAAUCAUCCAGAGGCUUUCCUUCUCUCUCCUUUGGCCUCUGAACCACAACCCUCAGUUUGUGACAAAGGUUUCUCAGUUAUUCAGCAUCUGCAGGCCCCCCGGGUUUGUACCUACUUCUUUGUUCCAAGGGGCUUGCCUUCCAGCAGGGUCAAGUGGUAAUCCACAUGGGUGUGUGCCCCCCUCUGUGAUCCUCUCUGACCCUACCCUGUGGCAAAGAAAAUUCACUCUCCCCAUAGUUAGCCAAAAUGGAACCCUGUCUGAUAGGGUAAACACCACACUACACCUGUAGGUCCCCACCUCACAGCCCAGGGGUGGGGACAUCUUUUCUUUGCUACAUUUUCCUGUCUUUAAUGCUCACUCAAUCUCAGGCCUAAAUCAUGAGUUUUGCCUUCCUGAUUUCUUUCUCUAUAAUCAGUGCUCUCCCCUGCCAUGAAUCAACACUCAUAGACACAAAACCAGACCCAGACCCAGACCCAGACCGAGGCACAGGCACAGGCACACACACACACACAGGUACACACACAUACACACACACACACACACACACACACACACACACACCCUGUGGAGCUCUUGUUCCACACUGAGUGACACAGAAACAAAGUCCACAGCACAAACCCUGGUUUACUAGACAUUCUAAUUUGACACAAGCCCCAUGGGUCCUUUACCAGUACUUGGGCAGGGACUGCUCUCAUUCCAACUGGCAUGGACUGGAAUGGGUAUGGGGCACUCCCUAUAGGAUGCUGGCCCUUGCCUUGGCCUUCUAGCUCAGAAAACCCACUGAGUCCAGAACCAGCUCCCAGCUGAGCCUGUCUGCCCAGGGAGGCAGCCCAUUUCACCUCUAGCUGCCACCCCUAAGCACAGUUACCCACUUGCUACCCUGCUCUCUGCAGACCAAGCAGGGUUGUGAUACCUAGUCAGAGGGCAGGGUUUCUCCCACCAUUUCUCACUGGCAAGUCUUCCAUCUGGGCAUGGACAAGGGUUGUCUGCCAUUCUCCACCCCAAGGCUGUCCCAGGUUAUUUCCCAGUCUUUGCUGGGGAGGACAGGCCAUCCUGCUACAUCAAGGGAGAAUGGGCAUGGGGCUCCACUCCAUCUAAGUUCCAACUAGCAUUGGCCCUCCAGUCAAGAGCCGACCAUGGAUCUCUGUCUGUCAGGGGAGGCACCAACUUUCACCCACAGGGUCCCAGCUCUGAGCACAGAGUUGGGGCCCCACAUGGCAACCUGCUCUCUGAGGCCAAGGUGGGUCUUGAUAGCUAGUCAGAGGGCAGGUCUCCUCUCUCCAUUGGUCAGUGCCCAGGAUUUCAGCAAUGGGUGGUUCUAGGUUGGUCAGCCAUUGAACAGCUUCAGUUCCCCUGGUUCUGUCCCCAUUCUGGGCCCCUCAGGGCAUCCAUUCCAUCUAGGAUAAACAUGAAAAGGAACAUUGGGCUGCACCCAGUGUACAUUGGACCUUGCUGACACCCUGUAGGAAGGAACUCACUGAGACCACAAGCCACCUAACACUCAGCCUGAAUGCCAGGGAAGGUGCCAUUUUGCACAUAUAGGCUCCCAACUGUCUGCCCAGCAUGGGCACCAGGGUUCCUGCUCAGCUAUCUCUCUAGCCUCUGGUCCAGUCUAAGACCUCAAGCAGAGCCUUGCUCCUUCUGCCAUUUUGCCUCCAUCCCCCACAAUCCUCAGAGUACACACCUAGGUUUCUCAGCCAUUCUGCAAGCAUAGGCCCUCCAGUUUCUAGCCAUUUCUUUGUUCCAAGGGGCUUGCCUUCCACCAGGGUCAAGGGAAAUCCACAUGGUUGUCUGCCCCCAUGUGUGGUCCCCUUUGUCCCAGCCCUGUGGCAAAGAAAAUUCAACCUCCCAACAGUUAGCCAAAAUGGAACCCUGUCUGACAGGGUAAACACCAUCAUGCACCUGUAGUCCCCUGCCUCACAGCCCAGGUUUGGGGGCAAGCUUUUUAAGCACUUUCUCAGGUCCCUCUAUUGAUUCAUGCAGAGGCUUUCUUUCUCUCCUCUUUGGCCUCCAAACCCAAUCCUCAGCUUCCUGAUACCGCUUUCUCAGGCAUUUAGCACCUGCAGGGCCCCUGGUUUGUACCCACUUCUUUGUUGAAGGGGCUUGAUUUCCACCAGGGUCAAGGGGGAAUCCACAUGGUUGUCUGCCCCACUGUGUGAUCCUCUUUGAGCCAGCCCUGUAGCAAAGAAAAUUCAAUCUCCAACAGUUACCCCAAAUGGAACCCUGUCAGACCGGGUAAACACCACGCUACACCGGUAGAUCCGCACCUCACAUGCCAGGGGUGUGGGCAUGUUUUCCAGUCCUUUUUGAUAGCCUUUGCUACUCAUGCUAAAGAAUCAUCCAGAGGCUUUCCUUCUCUCUCCUUUGGCCUCUGAACCACAACCCUCAGUUUGUGACAAAGGUUUCUCAGCCAUUCAGCAUGUGCAGGGCUCCCAGUAUAUACCUACUUCUUUGUUCCAAGGGCUUGAUUUCCACCAGGGUCAAGGGGGAAUCCACAUGGUUGUCUGCCCCCAUGUGUGGUCCUCUUUGACCCAGCCCUGUGGUAAAGAAAAUUCAACCUCCCAACAGUGAGCCAAAAUGGAACCCUGUCUGACAGGGUAAACACCAUCAUGCACCUGUAGUCCCCCGCCUCACAGCCCAGGGAUGGGGGCAAGCUUUUUGAGCACUUUCUCAGAUCUCUACAAGUCCAUCUAUCAAUUCAUGCAGAGCCUUUCUUUCUCUCUUCUUUGGCCUCCAAACUCAAUCCUCAGAUUCCUGAAAACGGUUUCUCAGCCAUUCAGCACCUGCAGGGCCCAGAGUCUGUACCCACCUCUUUGUUGAAGGGGCUUGUGUUCCACCAGGGUCAAGGGGGAAUCCACAUGGUUGUCUGCCCCCCUGUGUGAUCCUCUUUGAGCCAGCCCUGUAGCAAAGAAAAUUCACCCUCCAACAGUUACCCAAAAUGGAACCCUAUCUGACAGGGUAAACACCACCCUACACCUGUAGGUCCCCAUCUCACAUGCCAGGGGUGUGGGCAUGUUUUCCAGUCCUUUUUGAUAGCCUUUGCUACUCAUGCUAAAGAAUCAUCCAGAGGCUUUCCUUCUCUCUCCUUUGGCCUCUGAACCACAACCCUCAGUUUGUGACAAAGGUUUCUCAGCCAUUCAGCAUCUGCAGGCCCCCCGGGUUUGUACCUACUUCUUUGUUCCAAGGGGCUUGCCUUCCAGCAGGGUCAAGGGGUAAUCCACAUGGGUGUUUGCCCCCCUCUGUGAUCCUCUCUGACCCUACCCUGUGGCAAUGAAAAUUCACUCUCCCCACAGUUACCCAAAAUGGAACCCUGUCUGAUAGGGUAAACACCACACUACACCUGUAGGUCCCCACCUCACAGCCCAGGGGUGGGGACAUCUUUUCUUUGCUACAUUUUCCUGUCUUUAAUGCUCACUCAAUCUCAGGCCUAAAUCAUCAGUUUUGCCUUCCUGAUUUCCUUCUCUAUAAUCAGUGCUCUCCCCUGCCAUGAAUCAACACUCUUAGACAUAGACACAGACCCAGCCCCAGUCACAGACACAGGCACAGGCACACACAUGCACCCACACACACCCCCCCCCACACCCCCAUGCACACCCACUCACACACACACACACACACACACACACACACACACACACACACACACACACACACAUACCGGUGGAGCUCUUGAUCCACACUGAGUGACACAGAAACAAAGUCCACAGCACAGACCCUGGUUUAUUAGACAUUCUAAUUUGACACAAGCCCCAUGGGUCCUUUACCAGUACUUGGGCAGGGACUGCUCUCAUUCCAACUGGCAUGGACUGGAAUGGGUAUGGGGCACUCCCUAUAGGAUGCUGGCCCUUGCCUUGGCCUUCUAGCUCAGAAAACCCACUGAGUCCAGAACCAGCUCCCAGCUGAGCCUGUCUGCCCGGGGAGGCAGCCCAUUUCACCUCUAGCUGCCACCCCUAAGCACAGUUACCCACUUGCUACCCUGCUCUCUGCAGACCAAGCAGGGUUGUGAUACCUAGUCAGAGGGCAGGGUUUCUCCCACCAUUUCUCACUGGCAAGUCUUCCAUCUGGGCAUGGACAAGGGUUGUCUGCCAUUCUCCACCCCAAGGCUGUCCCAGGUUGUUUCUCAGUCUUUGCUCGGGAGGACAGGCCAUCCAGCUACAUCAAGGGAGAAUGGGCAUGGGGCUCCACUCCAUCUAAGUUCCAACUAGCAUUGGCCCUCCAGUCAAGAGCCGACCAUGGAUCUCUGUCUGUCAGGGGAGGCACCAACUUUCACCCACAGGGUCCCAGCUCUGAGCACAGAGUUGGGGCCCCACAUGGCAACCUGCUCUCUGAGGCCAAGGUGGGUCUUGAUAGCUAGUCAGAGGGCAGGUCUCCUCUCUCCAUUGGUCAGUGCCCAGGAUUUCAGCAAUGGGUGGUUCUAGGUUGGUCAGCCAUUGAACAGCUUCAGUUCCCCUGGUUCUGUCCCCAUUCUGGGCCCCUCAGGGCAUCCAUUCCAUCUAGGAUAAACAUGAAAAGGAACAUUGGGCAGCACCCAGUGUACAUUGGACCUUGCUGACACCCUGUAGGAAGGAACUCACUGAGACCACAAGCCACCUAACACUCAGCCUGAAUGCCAGGGAAGGUGCCAUAUUGCACAUAUAGGCUCCCAACUGUCUGCCCAGCACGGGCACCAGGGUUCCUGCUCAGCUAUCUCUCUAGCCUCUGGUCCAGUCUGAGGCCUCAAGCAGAGCCUUGCUCCUUCUGCCAUUUUGCCUCCAUCCCCCAUAAUUCUCAGAGUACACACCUAGGUUUCUCAGCCAUUCUGCAAGCAUAGGCCCUCCAGUUUCUAGCCACUUCUUUGUUCCAAGGGGCUUGCCUUCCACCAGGGUCAAGGGAAAUCCACAUGGUUGUCUGCCCCCAUGUGUGGUCCCCUUUGUCCCAGCCCUGUGGCAAAGAAAAUUCAACCUCCCAACAGUUAGCCAAAAUGGAACCCUGUCUGACAGGGUAAACACCAUCAUGCACCUGUAGUCCCCCGCCUCACAGCCCAGGGAUGGGGGCAAACUUUUUGAGCACUUUCUCAGAUCUCUACAAGUCCAUCUAUCAAUUCAUGCAGAGCCUUUCUUUCUCUCCUCUUUGGCCUCCAAACUCAAUCCUCAGAUCCCUGAAAACGGUUUCUCAGCCAUUCAGCACCUGCAGGGCCCCUGGUUUGUACCCACUUCUUUGUUGAAGGGGCUUGAUUUCCACCAGGGUCAAGGGGGAAUCCACAUGGUUGUCUGCCGCCAUGAGUGAUCCUCUUUGAGCCAGUCCUGUAGCAAAGAAAAUUCACCCUCCAACAGUUACCCAAAAUGGAACCCUGUCUGACAGGGUAAACACCACCCUACACCUGUAGGUCCCCAUCUCACAUGCCAGGGGUGUGGGCAUGUUUUCCAGUCCUUUUUGAUAGCCUUUGCUACUCAUGCUAAAGAAUCAUCCAGAGGCUUUCCUUCUCUCUCCUUUGGCCUCUGAACCACAACCCUCAGUUUGUGACAAAGGUUUCUCAGCCAUUCAGCAUCUGCAGGCCCCCCGGGUUUGUACCUACUUCUUUGUUCCAAGGGGCUUGCCUUCCAGCAGGGUCAAGUGGUAAUCCACAUGGGUGUGUGCACCCCUCUGUGAUCCUCUCUGACCCUACCCUGUGGCAAAGAAAAUUCACUCUCCCCAUAGUUAGCCAAAAUGGAACCCUGUCUGAUAGGGUAAACACCACACUACACCUGUAGGUCCCCACCUCGCAGCCCAGGGGUGGGGACAUCUUUUCUUUGCUACAUUUUCCUGUCUUUAAUGCUCACUCAAUCUCAGGCCUAAAUCAUCAGUUUUGCCUUCCUGAUUUCUUUCUCUAUAAUCAGUGCUCUCCCCUGCCAUGAAUCAACACUCAUAGACAUAGACACAGACCCAGCCCCAGUCACAGACUCACGCACAGGCACACACAUGCACCCACACCCCCACACCCCCACACCCCCACUCUCACACACACACACACACAGAACUGUGGAGCUCUUGAUCCACACUGAGUGACACAGAAACAAAGUCCACAGCACAGACCCUGGUUUAUUAGACAUUCUAAGUCCCAUAGGUCCUUGACCAGUACUUGGGCAGGGACUGCUCUCAUUCCAACUGGCAUGGACUCGAAUGGUUAUGGGGCACUCCCUAUAGGAUGCUGGCCCUUGCCUUGGCCUUCUAGCUCAGAAAACCCACUAAGUCCAGAACCAGCUCCCAGCUGAGCCUGUCUGCCCGGGGAGGCAGCCCAUUUCACCUCUAGCUGCCACCCCUAAACACAGUUACCAACUUGCUACCCUGCUCUCUGGAGACCAAGCAGGGUUGUGAUACCUAGUCAGAGGGCAGGGUUUCUCCCACCAUUUCUCACUGGCAAGUCUUCCAUCUGGGCAUGGACAAGGGUUGUCUGCCAUUCUCCACCCCAGGGCUAUCCCAGGUUGUUUCCCAGUCUUUGCUUGGGAGGACAGGCCAUCCAUCUACAUCAAGGGAGAAUGGGCAUGGGGCUCCACUCCAUCUAAGUUCCAACUGGCAUUGGCCCUCCAGCCAAGAGCCGACCAUGGAUCCCUGUCUGUCAGCGGAGGCACCACCUUUCACCCACAGGGUCCUAGUUCUGAGCACAGAGUUGGGGCCCAACAUGGAAACCUGCUCUCUGAAGCCAUGGUGGGUCUUAAUAGACAGUCAGAGGGCAGGUCUUCUCUCUCCAUUGGUCCGUGCCCAAGAUUUCAGCAAUGGGUGGUUCUAGGUUGGUCAGCCAUUGAACAGCUUCAGUUCCCCUGGUUCUGUCCCUAUCCUGGGCCCCUCAGGGCAUCCAUUCCAUCCAGGAUAAGGGCAAAAGGAACAUGGGGCAGCACCCAGUGUACAUUGGACCUUGCUGACACCCUGUAGGAUGGAACUCACUGAGACCACAAGCCACCUAACAGUCAGCCUGAAUGCCAGCAAAGGUGCCACAUUGUACCUACAGCCUCCCAACUCUCUCCCCAGCAGGGGCACCAGGGUUUCUACUCAACUAUCUCUCUAGCCUCUGGUCCAGUCUGAGGCCUCAAGCAGAGCCUUCCUCCUUCUGCCCUUUUGCCUCCAUCCCCCAUAAUCCUCAGAGUACACACCUAGGUUUCUCAGCCAUUCUGCAAGCAUAGGGCCUCCAGUUUCUAGCCACUUCUUUGUUCCAAGGGGCUUGCCUUCCGCCAUGGUCAAGGGAAAUCCACAUGGUUUUCUGCCGCCAUGUGUGGUCUUCUUUUACCCAGGCCUAUGGCAAAGUAAAUUCAACCUCCCAACAGUUAGCCAAAAUGGAACCCUGUCUGACAGGAUAAACACCAUCAUGCACCUGUAGUCCCCUGCCUCACAGCACAGGUUUGGGGGUAAGCUUUUUAAGCACUUUCUCAGGUCCCUCUAUUGAUUCAUGUAGAGGCUUUUUUUCUCUCCUCUUUGGCCUCCAAACCCAAUCCUCAGCUUCCUGAUACCGGUUUCUCAGGCAUUUAGCACCUGCAGGGCCCCUAGUUUGUACCCACUUCUUUGUUGAAGGGGCUUGAUUUCCACCAGGGUCAAGGGGGAAUCCACAUGGUUGUCUGCCCCCCUGUGUGAUCCUCUUUGAGCCAGCCCUGUAGCAAAGAAAAUUCACUCUCCAACAGUUACCCCAUAUGGAACCCUGUCUGACAGGGUAAACACCACCCUACACCUGUAGGUCCCCUCCUCACAUGCCAGGGGUGUGAGCAUGUUUUCCAGUCCUUUUUUAUAGCCUUUGCUACUCAUGCUAAAGAAUCAUCCAGAGGCUUUUCUUCUCUCUCCUUUGGCCUCUGAACCACAACCCUCAGUUUUUGACAAAGGUUUCUCAGCCAUUCAUCCUCUGCAGGCCCCCCGGUUUGUACCCACUUCUUUGUUCCAAGGGGCUUGCCUUCCAGCAGGGUCAAGGGGUAAUCCACAUGGGUGUCUGCCCCCCUCUGUGUUCCUCUCUGACCCUACCCUGUGGCAAAGAAAAUUCACUCUCCCCACAGUUAGCUAAAAUGGAACCCUGUCUGAUAGGGUAAAUACCAUCAUGCACCUGUAGACCCCACCUCGCAGCCCAGGGGUAGGGACAUCUUUUCUUCCCUACAUUUUCCUGUCUUUAAUGCUCAUAGAAUCUCAGGCCUAAAUCAUCAGUUUUGCCUUCCUGAUUUCUUUCCCUAUAAUCAGUGCUCUCCCCUGCCAUGAAUCAACACUCAUAGACACAGACACAGACCCAGCCCCAGUCACAGACACAGACACAGACACACAUAUGCACCCCCCCACACACACACCUGGGGAGCACUUGAUCCACACUGAGUGACACAGAAACAACGUCCACAGCACAGACCCUGGUUUAUUAGACAUUCUAAUUUGACACCAGCCCCUAGGUCCUUGACCAGUACUUGGGCAGGGACUGCUCUCAUUCAAACUGGCAUGGAAGUGGAAUGGGUACGGGGCCCUCCCCAAAGGAUGCUGGCCAUUGCCUUGGCCUUCUAGCUCAGAAAACCCACUGAGUCCAGAACCAGCUCCCAGCUGAGCCUGUCUGCCCAGGGAGGCAGCCCAUUUCACCUCUAGCUGCCACUCCUAAGCACAGUUACCCACUUGCUACCCUGCUCUCUGCAGACCAAGCAGGGUUGUGAUACCUAGUCAGAGGGCAGGGUUUCUCCCACCAUUUCUCACUGGCAAGUCUUCCAUCUGGGCAUGGACAAGGGUUUUGUGCCAUUCUCCACCCCAGGGCUGUCCCAGGUUGUUUCCCAGUCUUUACUGGGGAGAACAGGCUAUCUAGCUAAAUCAAGGGAGAAUGGGCAUGGGGCUCCACUCCAUCUAAGUUCCAGCUGGCAUUGGCCUUCCAGCCAAGAGCCGACCAUGGAUCCCUGUCCUCCAGGAGAGGCACCAACUUUCACCCACAGGGUCCUAGUUCUGAGCACAGAGUUGGUACCCAACAUGGCAGCCUGCUCUCUGAGGCCAAGGUGGGUCUUGAUAGCCAAUCAGAGGGCAGGUCUCCUCUCUCCAUUGGUCAGUGCCCAGGAUUUCAGCAAUGGGUGGUUCUAGGUUGGUCAGCCAUUGAACAGUUACAGUUCCCCUGUUUCUGUCCCCAUUCUGGGCCCCUCAGGGCAUCCAUUCCAUCCAGGAUAAGGGCGAAAAGGAACAUUGGGCUGCACCCAGUGUACAGUAGACCUUGCUGAUAUCCUGUAGGAAGGAACUCACUGAGAUCACAAGCCACCUAAUAGUCAGCCUGAAUGCCAGGGAAGAUGCCACAUUGCACUUGUAGGCUGCCAACUCUCUCCCCAUCAGGGGCACCAGGAUUCCUACUCAGCUUUCUCUCUAGCCUCUCAUCCAGUCUGAGGCCUCAAGCAGAGCCUUGCUCCUUUUGCCCUUUUGCCUCCAUCCCCCAUUAUCCUCAGAGUACACACCUAGGUUUCUCAGCCAUUCUGCAAGCAUAGGGCCUCCAGUUUCUAGCCAUUUCUUUGUUCCAAGGGGCUUUCCUUCUACCAGGGUCAAGGGAAAUCCACAUGGUUGUCUGCCCCCAUGUGUGGUCCCCUUUGUCCCAGCCCUGUGGCAAAGAAAAUUCAACCUCCCAACAGUUAGCCAAAAUGGAACCCUGUCUGACAGGGUAAACACCAUCAUGCACCUGUAGUCCCCCGCCUCACAGCCCAGGGCUGGGGGCAAGCUUUUGGAGCACUUUCUCAGGUCCCUAGAAGUCAGUCUAUCAAUUCAUACAGAGCCUUUUUUCUCUCCUUUUUGGCCUCCAAAUCCAAUCCUCAGCUUCCUGAAAACGGUUUCUCAGCCAUUCAGCACCUGCACGGCCCCCAGUUUGUAACCACCUCUUUGUUGAAGGGGCUUGUUUUCCACCAGGGUCAGGGGGGAAUCCACAUGGUUGUCUGCCGCCAUGAGUGAUCCUCUUUGAGCCAGCCCUGUAGCAAAAAAAAUUCACUCUCCAACAGUUAUCCAAAAUGGAACCCUGUCUGACAGGGUAAACACCACUCUACACCUGUAGGUCCCCACCUCACAUGCCAGGGGUGUGGGCAUGUUUUCCAGUCCUUUUUGAUAACCUUGCUACUCAUGCUAAAGAGUCAUCCAGAGGCUUUCCUUCUCUCUCCUUUGGCCUCUGAACCACAACCCUCAGUUUGUGACAAAGGUUUCUCAGCCAUUCAGCAUCUGCAGGCCCCCCGGUUUGUACCCACUUCUUUGUUCCAAGGGGCUUGCCUUCCAGCAGGGUCAAGGGGGAAUCGACAUGGAUGUCUGCCCUGCUGUGUGAUCCUCUUUUCCCCAGCCCUGUGGCAAAGAAAAUUCACUCUUCCCACAGUUAGCCAAAAUGGAACUCUGUCUGACAGGGUAAACACCAUCAUGCACCUAUAGACCCCACCUCGCAGCCCAAGGGAGGGGAAAUCUUUUCUUCCCUACAUUUUCCUAUCUUUAAUGCUCACUCAAUCUCAGGCCUAAAUCAUCAGUUUUGCCUUCCUGAUUUCUUUCUCUAUAAUCAGUGCUCUCCCCUGCCAUGAAGAAACACUCACAGACACAGACACACAGACACAGACACACACAGACACAGACACAGACACACACACACAUACACACUCACUCUCACACACACACACACACACACACACACACCCCUGGGGAACAUUUAUUCCACACAGAGUGACACAGAAACAAAGUCCCCUACAUAAACUGUGGUGUAUUAGACAUUCUAUUCUGACACUAGCCCCUAGGUGCUUUACCAGUACUUGAGCAGGGAGGGUUUCCAUUCAACUAGCAUGGAAGUGAAAUGGGUAUGGAGCUCUCUCCGACCUGUUUGCCCUAGCAUUGGUCUUCUAGAUCAGAAAACCCACUGAGUCCAGAACCAGCUCCCAGCUGAGCCUGUCUGCUCGGGGAGGCAGCCCAUUUCACCUCUAGCUGCCUCCCCUAAGUACAGUUACCCACUUGCUACCCUGCUCUCUGGAGACCAAGCAGGGUUGUGAUACCUAGUCAGAGGGCAGGGUUUCUCCCACCAUUUCUCACUGGCAAGUCUUUUAACAGAUAUGGACAAGGGUUGUCUGCCAUUCUCCAUCCCAAGGCUGUCCCAGGUUGUUUCUCAUUCUUUGCUAGGGAGGAUAGGCCAUUCAACUACUUCAAGGGCAAAUGGGCAUGGGGCUCCACUCCAUUUACGUUCAAAUUGGCAUUGGCCCUCCAGCCAAGAGCAGACCAUGGAUCCCUGUCUGCUAGGGGAAGCACCACCUUUUACCCACAUGGUCCCAGCUCUGAGCACAGAUUUGGGGCCCAACAUGGAAACCUGCUCUCUGAGGCCAAGUUGGGUCUUAACAGUUAGUCAGAGGGCAGAUCUCCUCUCUCCAUUGGUCAGUGCCUGGGAUUUCAGCAGUGGAUGUUUCUGUGUUGGUCAUCCAUUCACCAGCGGCAGUUCCCCUUGUUCUUUUCCCAUCCUGCGCCCCUCAGGGAUUCCAGUCCAGCUUGGGGAAGGGCAAAUUUGCAUUGGGCAGUAGCCCAAUGCAUGUGAUUCCUUUGCCAGCUCUCUGUAGCCAAGGAACCUCCCUGCAAGUCAUGCUGCUUAACCUUCAUCUUGUUUACUAGGUGCUUUUCAUAUUGCACAUUUUCCCCAGAUAUUAAUUAAGUUUUCUAUAUGAUCAUCUUAAGUAUACGUUAUCUCCUUUCUUCUUUCUCAGACAUUAUUUUCUGUUGUUUUUUUUAAAUCUUUUAUCCUUUAAGUAAUAUAUAAGUAUCAUAAUUUGGGUUUCUCUUUCUGUCACAUUGAAACAUGCCUUUUCUUACAGAAAUAUAAUCAGGGAUUAAUUUUCCUAUUUUAUGUCACUAUUUGACUGGUGAUUCAACAAUGGAUUCAAAUUUUAUGUUUUCUUGUGAGUCCCUAAUAAAUGGUCCUUAAAAAACAUAAAUUUCCAUAUUGAGUAUGGCCCCUUGAGUCAGAAGAUCCUAUGUUUUAAUUUGGCCUCAGAUUCUUACCAGGUUUUUGACUGUGGGGAAGGCAAUCAUAAUUUCUUCAAAAAAACAAAACAAAAGAAAAACAAACCCUUGAAAAUUGGGGACAUCAAAUAUUUAUCUUUCCUUCUUCACAUUUCUUUGGUACUUUCCUUGUUGGCUAGCAUAAUAAAACAACAUCUGAUUUGUACUUUACUGAUUUCACCAUCAUAUAGUCUCAUAAUCCAAAUUUUCUAAUCUGCUCCCAAUGUUAAAGUCAUUUCAAUAACCCCUUACUUGAAGGGUCUUUGUCUUCUGACAAUACAGGGGGUACAUUUUAUUCUUUCUAAUCUUGAACUCUGUUUUUGGCAUUUUCAGUUCUGUUCAUUUAAGUCUGUCUUUUGUUUUUCCCCAGAUCAUUACAUUUUUCUUAUUUCCCAGCUCCUGCUAAAUUCACCAUAUAUCAUCUCAUAGAAAUCUUUUCAUGGUACUCAGAAGUCUUCAUACUUCUUUAUUUCAAUGCAAUACAUCCUUUAUUUCAGUACAAUUUCACUAUCAUAGUACCCACACUGGUUAAUUUCACCAUAUCUUAAAGGGCACUUGGGUUGUUUCUAUUUCUUUGCUACAAAGUAUAUUUACCUCACCUAGUUAAUUUUAUCAGGAACCCCCAUUAUAGAGAUUAUAAAAUUCAAUUGUUGACAGGUCCAAAGUUUGGUUGGACUGGUAUAAAAGAAUGCUAGAGGGUUAUUCAUUUCAUUGGGAGCCUAGAAAAAUGGAAUUGGGAGACUUCCUGAGAUCUAAGUUCUAUGAGCUCAGCUAUGUUAUGUAGCCCUUCCUGCAGACAAGAGACCACCUAAGCCAUGCCAGUCCUCUGCCAUCUUAUCGGGCAUGAGGCUUUACAACCUCUCAGGAAAACUUUUUUUAUCCUCUAAUGUUUCACAACCUUGAUUAUUAAUAAUGUCACUUUUUGUUCUAAAUAACUUCAAGCCAUUUCCCAUAAGAUUGUUCCCCAAAAUGGAAGUAUAGAUUUGUGAAACAUAUCUUCAUAGAGUUGAAUUACAUUAGCAAGUUAUUCCUCAGCAUGUUUUCUAGAUUAAGCAAGUUCCAUCACCUUUUUUCAACCCGGUGCUGUUCUCCUCAUGUUCUCAUUCUCCUUUAAAAUAAAGGCCCACAAAAAGUAAUUUUCGUCUCUGAAUAAGGCCUGAUCAAUAUGGAAUAUAGUUGAGAAAGCCUACCUUUCUAGCUUUUGCAUGUGGCAAUGUAGUAUGCGCUUAAUGGUUUGCACAUAGUAGGUACUUAAUAAUCAAUAUUGCACGGAGUAGGUGCUUUCAAAUAUUGCACAUUGUAGGCAUUUAAUAAAUUGCACAGAGUAGGUGCUUAAUCAGUGUUUGUUAAAUUGAGAGAAAAACAUCGUCCAUGAUCGAUCUUUCCCUCGUAGUACCUCACAUCGCACUUUGUUUUCACUUCUUUCACAAUUCUUGCUGUCUCUUAUUUUAAUCAUAGUUAUUUGCAUAUGUAUCAUAUUUUUAUUAGAUUGUAAACUCCUUGAGGGCAAGAACUAUCUAUCUUAAUAUCUACCCAUCAAAUUGAUCUGCUACAUAAAUACUACUGUAAUCACUUAAUCAAUGUUAAAAUUUUGAUUUGAGCAGAAUUGUUUCCUUGUCGAUGCAUCCUAUCACCAUGUUAGGAUGCCUGUACUGCACGAUUAGCACCUUACUAUAUAUUAUCCUGUUAUAUCUUGUAGCAUUAUUUUGAGAAAAGCAAAGAGCUUCAUAUACUAUAAGACUGUAUGCGUGCUAUUAUUAUUAUUAUCACCAUUGUUAUUUUCUAGUUGCUUUUGUCAUAAUAAUUUAGCACUUUAUUGUAUUAGGAUAUCAUGCUGUUUUGUUAUCUACUAGUGUCAUUUUGUGUGUAUUUCUUAUUUUCCCAAGUAGAUUGUAAGCAUAAGGUAGGCAGUGGCUAUGUAUAGCUUGCAAAUAGCAUAUACUCAAUAAAUGCUUAUUGAAUGAU
Long non-coding RNA from Dromiciops gliroides (monito del monte), 21653 nucleotides. RefSeq lists it as uncharacterized. The transcript has 2 exons. NCBI's taxonomy places the organism in Eukaryota, Metazoa, Chordata, Mammalia, Microbiotheria, Microbiotheriidae. The record is from RefSeq and is a predicted model, not a curated record.